RNAcentral lists this long non-coding RNA (1904 nucleotides) under Brassica napus (rape). Its description in RNAcentral is "long non-coding RNA (BNAP_LNC016470)". The record is from RNAcentral. Lineage: Eukaryota; Viridiplantae; Streptophyta; Magnoliopsida; Brassicales; Brassicaceae.
GCAUCUAUUAAAUUCUCAUAGUCCUCUCAACCGCCUCUUCAAAAAAGUCUCUUUCCUUCACCCUUUAUUUUUGUUUUGUUUAGUUUCCACACAUCUUAUGAAGAGAAACAAAACAUAGUAAACCAAACAACAAAUGAUUCGAUUUCGACUUCUUUGCCUCUUUGUUGUUCUCUUCACUCUUGUUUGUGUUUUCUCCAAAGCCCCAAGCACUCAUGCUGCUGGAAGACGAAGCUUUUUCUCAGGACCUUCUAGAAGAGAGAGAGGGUUCUCACACUCUUAUGCCACACGUGUAAUCGGCUCUGGACAAUUCAAGCCGGAGAAGAGAAAGAUUCCGACGGGGUCAAACCCUUUGCAUAACAAGCGAUAAUAAAGGGUUUAUUUAUAUGCCGGCAACAAAGAAUAUUUUAGUUUCCUUUUUAUCUUUUGUUUUGGGUCUCUCUCCCUCUCCUUGUUUUUAAACUGGAGAAUAUAUGUAAAAUUUCUAAAUAUAUAAACUUAUGUGAUGUAUACAUACUCCCAUAUAACUGGAGUAGCUAGGAGUUUUCUAAACGUAAAUUUAAGGAUUCAGAUCGAUUGCAAUUGAUCAUAUGAUGUUUAUGUAUGUAGAAGUAAGUGUUGUAUAGUUUGUGUAAUUGUGUUCUAAAAAUUAUGAUUCCUUUUUUUCCAUCAAUUAUGAUUCCUUAUAUGGUUAAAUAACACACAUAACAUGAUUUUUUUGUUUAAUCGUACCAUACUAUAGUUAGCAAAGAUAUGUUUGAUCAAAGAUGAUUUUCUGUUUACAGCUAAUAUAUUUUACUGUUUAAAGACUAUUAUUUAAAAUAAUUUCAUCUGCUUGAGAAUAACAAAUUUCAAUGGCUGCAAGGGCCUGAUAGCUCUGUCAAGGGCUACGUCCUUGCGAGUUAGGAAUUAGUCUAUUCUCUGCAAUCACUGUUAAAUUAUCUUCUGCACGUCCAUAAAAAUAAAAUUUCAAUAAUUAGCGGAUCGUUACCAUAAUAUAAACAAUAUAUAAGAGUGGGAAAAUUUUAAAAUUUGAUGUUGAUUCUUAAUUAUUAUGGAAAUAGAAGAAGAAGGAUAAAAUAAUUGUUAUAUUUGUUGAUGUAGAAAAUUGUGGUUUAAUGAUUUGGUUUAUGGUUAAUGAUGGAAAAUAAGCCUGUAAGAUUGACUACUCCAAUCAACUUUAUGAAAAUCGAGCUUUUAUCUAAAAAGAAACGUGACUAGAUUAUCUCAUUUUAGAUAAAAGCUCGUUUUUCAUAAAGUUGAUUGGAGUAGACAAUUUUUUUUUUUUUAAACUUUGAUAUGGAGUAGACAAUCUUACAGGCUCAUUUUCCAUCAUUAUGAAGAGAAACAAAACAUAGUAAACCAAACAACAAAUGAUUCGAUUUCGACUUCUUUGCCUCUUUGUUGUUCUCUUCACUCUUGUUUGUGUUUUCUCCAAAGCCCCAAGCACUCAUGCUGCUGGAAGACGAAGCUUUUUCUCAGGACCUUCUAGAAGAGAGAGAGGGUUCUCACACUCUUAUGCCACACGUGUAAUCGGCUCUGGACAAUUCAAGCCGGAGAAGAGAAAGAUUCCGACGGGGUCAAACCCUUUGCAUAACAAGCGAUAAUAAAGGGUUUAUUUAUAUGCCGGCAACAAAGAAUAUUUUAGUUUCCUUUUUAUCUUUUGUUUUGGGUCUCUCUCCCUCUCCUUGUUUUUAAACUGGAGAAUAUAUGUAAAAUUUCUAAAUAUAUAAACUUAUGUGAUGUAUACAUACUCCCAUAUAAUUGGAGUAGCUAGGAGUUUUCUAAACGUAAAUUUAAGGAUUCAGAUCGAUUGCAAUUGAUCAUAUGAUGUUUAUGUAUGUAGAAGUAAGUGUUGUAUAGUUUGUGUAAUUGUGUUCUAAAAAUUAUGAUUCCUUUUUUUCCAU